RNAcentral lists this ribosomal RNA (278 nucleotides) under uncultured bacterium. RNAcentral describes it as "partial 16S ribosomal RNA". It matches the Rfam family "Bacterial small subunit ribosomal RNA", at positions 506 to 784 of the family's 1533-position model. The record is from RNAcentral.
UGCCAGCCGCCGCGGUAAUACGUAGGGUGCAAGCGUUGUCCGGAAUCACUGGGCGUAAAGGGUUCGUAGGCGGCCUAUCAAGUCAGGUGUGAAAGGCAUUGGCUCAACCAAUGUAAGCACUUGAAACUGGUGGGCUUGAGUACUGGAGAGGUGAGUGGAAUUUCUAGUGUAGAGGUGAAAUUCGUAGAUAUUAGAAAGAAUACCAAUUGCGAAGGCAGCUUUCUGGAUCAUUACUGACGCUGAGGAACGAAAGCAUGGGUAGCGAAGAGGAUUAGAUA